GGCUUAAAUAGGUCAAUUUUGGUCUUGAAAACCAAAUAAAGAUGUUCGAGUCAUCUAUAAGCCA
Molecule: transfer RNA, 64 nt
Filed under: Clymenella torquata (bamboo worm)
Lineage: Eukaryota; Metazoa; Annelida; Polychaeta; Maldanidae
Description: tRNA-Ser
Rfam family: tRNA
About the family: Transfer RNA (tRNA) molecules are approximately 80 nucleotides in length.
Source: RNAcentral